GCUCACCACAUUACAGGAGAACGAGAAGAGCGCCUCGCGUUUGCUUCCCAUUGCACGCAACUUUCCAUCUCUCUCGUUCUUUCCACUGCAGCCGCCGCCGCCGCCGCUAGGGUUGCCGCCGCCAACACCUCCCCAAGCCGUAUUCGCCUCGACGGGUCUCAACCUGCCACGCGGAGUGACUCUCGGAUGCGGACGCUCGAGGGCGAGGGAAGCGCCGCCGCUUUUCAUGGGCGCCGGUUGCUGGUGGCGGCGGGAGGGACGAGCAGGCGUGCGGCAACCUCAAGCUUCUCCCAUGUGCCUGGACACGAGCGGCACAAGGGGUUGAGGAGCAGGGGGCGAUGCCAAGGGCGUGGAGCAGGGGAUUCACAAGCAGAUGCAUAUCAUCAGCAACCCCUGAGACCUCGUGCAACAUCAAGAUGCUGGUGUCCUGCCUCCAUUUGUUCGCCACGGUCGCUGCCUCAUGUCAGGUAUUGCGCGCAGGUAUAUGGCGAGGACACAAAUUUGGGUGUCCAGCUCCUUGCCUGCAUGUGCAAAGAAUUCAGAACCUGCAGGUAUUUUUUAUUCUUGAUCUCUCCAUACCUUGUGUUUCAUUUUCUGAAUUGAAGGAAUUCAUGUUUAAUUUCACAUGAUAUUCAAACAAAUAAAUACAUGGUGUGUUGAAUUGCUGAAAUAUGGAGGAAAUGCUACAGCUUGAUGACUAUUACAAUAUAGUUAAUUCAGAACUUCAGUUCUGACGACAUGGGUCUUGUGGACUAUAUUGGCUACCAGUACAAUUGAGCAUGAUUUACACUGUUUGACAACAAAGUUUUGUAAAAACUGCAGUAUUUUAGCAUGUUCGUAUAUCAACGUAUUUUGCAGUAGCAGUAAUGCAGAGAAUGAAUCUACAAUAGUCCACCUAUUACCAGUACUCUUACUUCUUCUCUUCUUCCUGAAUAGUUUGCUCUUUUCUCAUCCACUACUCUGUUUGAUUUAGCCCCUAUAAUCUCAUCUUUCAUUGUGCAGAUUAUUUUGUGUAUGUGACUACAAGGUGUUGGAAAUCCAAUCAGACUGUAGGAAAAGAUAUAUUUCUUCUUAUGCUCUUCGUGUAAUCAAUAGUUCUUUUUUCUUCUGCUGGGUAGUUGGGGGUUUGUUUUGGGAUGUUUCACCAAACUUAGGGAAGACCUUGUCAAGCUUAUUUGGGGGGGCACCAGGGUGAAUUAAUCCUGAUCCUAGCAUAAGUACAGUCAGGAAUUACAUCUUUUGUGGCCAGCAGGAACAGUGUGGUGUCCUAUUUUUUGCACUCUGGCGUUUUCUGUACUAUUGCCAGAACAUAUACUAUAUUUGCUAGCUCUUGUUGUUACCUCAUUUUAUCCUAUGCUUCUCUCAAAUCAGCUAUGAAUUACAAACGAUAAUAGAUCUCAUGAUGAUGAUGGUGGAGACUGUUGGUACUUUAGGUGAUAUAUGCCUCAUCAAAACUGAACAUUUAUCAAUUUUGAUGCAUGGCUGUACGGGCUAACAUUUUUUGUUUAAGGAAGCAACUAUAUAGUGUGUGCUGCAAGAAUGUACAUGCAAUAUAUCUUGUGCAUUGCAGACAUAGGAACGCUUGAUUGUCAUGAGUGUGUCUCAAUUGGUUCUUUAUAAUACAGUACUAGAGUUCAUUUAGAUUAUUAGUGGAUGAUAAUUUCCUUCCCUCAUAUUUAAAACAGUGCAGCAGAUGAAGCCAACGCGGACGAUGAUUAACUUCUCUGACCUUAUGGUAGGUUGAAUCUGAAUCACAUUGAUGGGUGAACUUCCUUGUAGUCCCUUUUCCUGAAACUAUAAGACAAUGGCUUAGCCUGAUGUUUUGGUAGUUGUGUAAGCUGAAACAUGAUGCUAAGCCGAACAAUUUAUUGUCGUUUUUUUCGCAUGAGAUCACAUUUUGGUAGUUGCGAAGCCUAAACCAUGAUGCUUUCUUGCUGCUGUUGUAGCCUCUAAUGAAAUUGUGAGAUAAUGUAGUUAAGCUAAAUUUCUUCUGUUUCAAUAAGAUAGAUGUUGGUAGUUGCGUAAGUUGGCAGUGGUGGCUUUGAUAUAUGAUCUGCCUCGACUCGGGUCUCCUCCAGUCAGCGCCUAUUCGACGACGGCGACGGCGAGAGGAGAUGAAGUGGAGGCAACUCGAGGGCCUCCUAGGGGGCCUGGUCCAGUUCUCCCCCGCCGCCUCCUUUGCUCGAUUUGGCGUCCAAAAAAGGUGGGUAAUGCGACGAGUAAUUUAUAUCAACUUUGUUAUGCUCUCGAUUGAUUCUGCUGCCUUUUGCUGCUUUGGGUCCUGUUGUGGCGUGAGUGGGAUUCGGUUCCACGCCAAAUCAAGCAGUCUACUCUGGCUGAGUAGACUAGCAGGUCCAUCCAUCCAUGUACGCCUUUCUUUGCCUGAAUUUUUUCAAGGGAUCGGUGGCAGCGAGAUCCGCAAGGAGAACGAGGUGGCGCCGCAAGAUGGCAAGAACGGUGCGGCAGCGGGGUGGGCAAGAAGAUGAGGGGAUUUAGGAGAGGGUGGAGGCAACGACAGUUUGCAGCAAAUAAAUUAAUGUCCAUCAUUGGUUGCAGGUGUCAGGAUAACUAGCUACAGGUCAUGUUCCAGAAUCCCCCUUCCAACCUUCUCUCCCCAUAGAUUGAAUAUACUCCCUCGGUUAAUUCUUUUUAUCUGCUAAUUUUUUCACAAUUUCUUAUUCCCUUCGUUAAUUUGUAGGAGGAAAAUUGUGCUGACGAUCUUUUCUAUACUCUCUGGAUUUAUGGUUUAUUCAUGGAAAGGGUGUAAAAUAAUGGGCAAUGGUAACUAUUUUGUUCCUGUGAAGCUCCAGGUUUGGCUGAUUGCUCGGAUGAUGAGUAUCAUAACCCACACAAGAAAUAUAGAAAAGGUAAAGCGAAGACACAGUCCAUUUGGUUUGUCAUUUUGAAGGCACAGAUAGAAACAAGAACACCAUAUAUGUUCUAUAAGGAGGAGCUUUGAAAGUUUGUCAGGGCGGAGAAGAUGGUUCUCAAGUAUGCUACUAUCAUUGACUAGUAGAAUGCCCGUGCGUUGCCACGGGCUUUUGAAUUUUUUACUGGUUAUGUAUAUAAACAUAAUGCAUGUCAAAUUUCAUAUGUAUAGAAAAAAAAUUGGCGUUGGAUAACAUAACAAUGUUGCUCUGGUUGUAUUUGUUCUGACAGCUUUAUCUCUUAUAACAUUGGUUCUUAAUUUUAAGGUCACA
Molecule: long non-coding RNA, 3200 nt
Organism: Triticum aestivum (bread wheat)
Lineage: Eukaryota; Viridiplantae; Streptophyta; Magnoliopsida; Poales; Poaceae
Exons: 4
Source: RefSeq, a predicted model, not a curated record